UACGGAGGGAGCUAGCGUUAUUCGGAAUUACUGGGCGUAAAGCGCACGUAGGCGGAUAUUUAAGUCAGGGGUGAAAUCCCGGGGCUCAACCCCGGAACUGCCUUUGAUACUGGGUAUCUCGAGUCCGAGAGAGGUGAGUGGAAUUCCGAGUGUAGAGGUGAAAUUCGUAGAUAUUCGGAGGAACACCAGUGGCGAAGGCGGCUCACUGGCUCGGUACUGACGCUGAGGUGCGAAAGCGUGGGGAGCAAACAGG
RNAcentral lists this ribosomal RNA (253 nucleotides) under uncultured bacterium. Its description in RNAcentral is "partial 16S ribosomal RNA". It matches the Rfam family "Bacterial small subunit ribosomal RNA", at positions 524 to 776 of the family's 1533-position model. The record is from RNAcentral.